AUGGAAGAAAUGGAAUGGAAGACUUGUAUUGAAAAUGUGGAACAUGAUGUGAAAAGCCACCUCAAGGCAUUUCAGCAAAACCUGAAGCUCUUGAGGGAAAAAGAAGAGGACACUAGAAGAGAACGGGCAGACCUGCUGACUGAACUGCAGUGCUCUCAGAACACUGAAGACUUUCUCAGAACAAAAGUGGAAGAAUCUCACCAUAGUGUCUAUAGUUUAAAAUUAUCUGAAAUCAAACUACAGGAAAAAGUGGAAGAGCUUUUAGAUGAAAACAGAACUUUAAAAGAUCAAGGUACUGUGAAGUUGAAAAAGAAGAAAGAAAAAGAACUUACAAGAUUGGUGGAUGGAGACAAUAGUCUUAACCUGAAUGGAGAUCCAGUUCAGGAUGAAGUUCAGAAUCUGAAAUGGAGAGCAGUCUUGGAUUCACUCAGAAGCAGAGCUACUCAAACUCCAGUUGUGCUGCUACAUGAUAAAGAGUCUGAAACACCAGCCUGUAGUUGUGAUGGACUAAAGCAUACGGAGGAGCAACCAGAAGAACUUGUGCCAGUUUUGGAAUGCAGUUCUAGUGCUGUUGCAAAAGUUGCUGGUCUAGCUGAGACUGAGCAGGUCACCCUUGGACCACAGAGGGCAAAUACUCUAGAGGAUAGUUUCACUUUGCUCACGUGUAUGCCAAGUCAUCAUGCAGCAGGACUGCUUCCCCCUUGUCCUGAGAAGUUACCCAGUGAUGAGACAAAUAAGGAGACCAAAGAUGAAGAAACCUUUUCUCUCUUGAAGGAACACGCUAUAACUCUAACAGUGAAGACAUUCCCUGCUUCUGUGAUUGAAAUCUUAAUGAGAAAGAACCUCCAACUGAUCUUGUUUGAACACGGAAGAUGUCACAUAACAGCUUUCACCACUGAGAAGAAAGUGAAGAGUUUGAGUUUCUGUGAGACAAAUACUGAUCUUUGGUCUGAUGGUCUUUGCAUUGUUGCAAAAGGAGGAUUUUAUGACAGAGCUACUGAACUUCUUCAUGGAAAGUUGCCUUUUACUGUGGCUGAAGUUUUCACAUCAUCUCUAGAAGAAUGCUACAUGGAAAACCAUUGGGGAAACAAGCAAAUUCUGCCAGAAAGUGUAAGUGAAAACAAAUGUCUGGAUAAAGAUGUUGAUGAUGAUAAGUAUCACCAAAAAAUUUUUACAGGGGGAGCUAAAAGAGAAGAAAUACAGAAUGAUAAAGCCCAACAGCUGCAGGUGACCUGUGAUCUUGAGGGAAGUUCUAAAGUUUCCUACAAAACUAAAUUCUGUCCUGGGAAGCAAGGAGUGGAAGCCAAGGAGAGUCUCCAUAGCACGCAGGGUGCCCAAAAUUUAUCUAUUGAUUUUAAAGAUUUUAAAAAGUGUUUUGAAGGGAGUCCCAAACAAAUGGCGAAGAAAGAAAAUAUUUCUGAAAACUGCAUCCCUGAUGUGAAUAGCAGAUGUGAUGGAGAGGACGUAAUUGAAAUAGAAGAGAAAGGAAAACAGGCUCAGAAACCAAGUCGCCAAACAAGCCCCUCUAGCAAUAUUGGCCUUAAAAAAAGGAAAGACCAGACCUUGAAACAAUGUGAACCAAAUGAGAAUGUCAAAAAAUAG
Ficedula albicollis (Collared flycatcher) is the source of this 1602-nucleotide long non-coding RNA. The record is from Ensembl. Lineage: Eukaryota; Metazoa; Chordata; Aves; Passeriformes; Muscicapidae.